RNAcentral lists this ribosomal RNA (394 nucleotides) under uncultured bacterium. Its description in RNAcentral is "bacterial SSU rRNA". It matches the Rfam family "Bacterial small subunit ribosomal RNA", at positions 29 to 429 of the family's 1533-position model. The record is from RNAcentral.
AUUGAACGCUGGCGGAAUGCUUUACACAUGCAAGUCGAGCGGCAGCGCGGGGCAACCUGGCGGCGAGCGGCGAACGGGUGAGUAAUGCAUCGGAACGUACCCAGUCGUGGGGGAUAACUGUCCGAAAGGACAGCUAAUACCGCAUACGUCCUGAGGGAGAAAGCGGGGGAUCGCAAGACCUCGCGCGAUUGGAGCGGCCGAUGCCGGAUUAGCUAGUUGGUAGGGUAAAGGCCUACCAAGGCGACGAUCCGUAGCUGGUCUGAGAGGACGACCAGCCACACUGGAACUGAGACACGGUCCAGACUCCUACGGGAGGCAGCAGUGGGGAAUUUUGGACAAUGGGGGCAACCCUGAUCCAGCCAUUCCGCGUGAGUGAAGAAGGCCUCGGUGUAAG